Molecule: non-coding RNA, 65 nt
Organism: Pantoea sp. PSNIH1
Lineage: Bacteria; Pseudomonadati; Pseudomonadota; Gammaproteobacteria; Enterobacterales; Erwiniaceae
Source: Rfam
AAGAGCACGACAUUGCUCACAUUGCUUCCAGUAUUAUGUUGCCCGCCCUGUGCGGGCUUUUUUUU